RNAcentral lists this ribosomal RNA (253 nucleotides) under uncultured bacterium. RNAcentral's name for it is "partial 16S ribosomal RNA". It matches the Rfam family "Bacterial small subunit ribosomal RNA", at positions 524 to 776 of the family's 1533-position model. The record is from RNAcentral.
UACGUAGGGUGCAAGCGUUGUCCGGAAUUAUUGGGCGUAAAGAGCUCGUAGGCGGUCUGUCGCGUCGGAUGUGAAAAUCCAGGGCUUAACCCUGGACCUGCAUUCGAUACGGGCAGACUAGAGUUCGGUAGGGGAGACUGGAAUUCCUGGUGUAGCGGUGAAAUGCGCAGAUAUCAGGAGGAACACCGGUGGCGAAGGCGGGUCUCUGGGCCGAUACUGACGCUGAGGAGCGAAAGUGUGGGGAGCGAACAGG